This 309-nucleotide ribosomal RNA is filed under the name uncultured archaeon. RNAcentral's name for it is "bacterial SSU rRNA". It matches the Rfam family "Archaeal small subunit ribosomal RNA", at positions 526 to 834 of the family's 1478-position model. The record is from RNAcentral.
CUGAUCUGCAAGUCCGGUGUGAAAUCCAUGGGCUCAACUCAUGGACGUGCACCGGAUACUGCAGGUCUAGGGACCGGAGGGCGUCGAGGCUAUUCCCGGGGUAGGAGUGAAAUCCUAAAAUCCCGGGAGGAGCGCCUGUGGCGAAAGCGCUCGACGACUACGGAUCCGACGGUGAGGAACGAAAGCCGGGGGAGCAAAGCGGAUUAGAUACCCGCGUAGUCCCGGCCGUAAACAAUGUGCGCUUGAUGUCAGGUAACUCUAGUAGUUGCCUGGUGCCGAAGGAAAACCGUUAAGCGCACCGCCUGGGGA